This 150-nucleotide ribosomal RNA is filed under the name Escherichia coli. RNAcentral describes it as "partial 16S ribosomal RNA". It matches the Rfam family "Bacterial small subunit ribosomal RNA", at positions 1 to 144 of the family's 1533-position model. RNAcentral also lists the same sequence under 14 other names. Lineage: Bacteria; Pseudomonadati; Pseudomonadota; Gammaproteobacteria; Enterobacterales; Enterobacteriaceae. The record is from RNAcentral.
AAAUUGAAGAGUUUGAUCAUGGCUCAGAUUGAACGCUGGCGGCAGGCCUAACACAUGCAAGUCGAACGGUAACAGGAAGCAGCUUGCUGCUUCGCUGACGAGUGGCGGACGGGUGAGUAAUGUCUGGGAAACUGCCUGAUGGAGGGGGAU